AGCGAACGCUGGCGGCAGGCCUAACACAUGCAAGUCGAACGGACCCUUCGGGGUUAGUGUCGGACGGGUGAGUAACACGUGGGAACGUGCCUUUAGGUUCGGAAUAGCUCCUGGAAACGGGUGGUAAUGCCGAAUGUGCCCUUCGGGGGAAAGAUUUAUCGCCUUUAGAGCGGCCCGCGUCUGAUUAGCUAGUUGGUGAGGUAACGGCUCACCAAGGCGACGAUCAGUAGCUGGUCUGAGAGGAUGACCAGCGACACUGGGACUGAGACACGGCCCAGACUCCUACGGGAGGCAGCAGUGGGGAAUCUUGCGCAAUGGGCGAAAGCCUGACGCAGCCAUGCCGCGUGAAUGAUGAAGGUCUUAGGAUUGUAAAAUUCUUUCACCGGGGACGAUAAUGACGGUACCCGGAGAAGAAGCCCCGGCUAACUUGGUG
Molecule: ribosomal RNA, 433 nt
Filed under: uncultured bacterium
Lineage: Bacteria
Description: partial 16S ribosomal RNA
Rfam family: Bacterial small subunit ribosomal RNA
Source: RNAcentral